Molecule: small RNA, 249 nt
Filed under: Nomascus leucogenys (northern white-cheeked gibbon)
Lineage: Eukaryota; Metazoa; Chordata; Mammalia; Primates; Hylobatidae
Description: Metazoan signal recognition particle RNA (ENSNLEG00000029164.1)
Rfam family: Metazoan signal recognition particle RNA (bases 134-249)
Source: RNAcentral
GCCGGGCGUGGUGGCUCGCGCCUGUAAUCCCAGCACUUUGGGAGGCCGAGGUGGGAGGAUCACUUGAGGCCAGGAGUUUGAGACCAGCCUGGCCAACAUGGCAAAACCCCGUCUCUACUAAAAACAAAGAUUAGCUGGGUGUGGUGGUGCAUACCUGUAAUCCCAGCACUUUGGGAGGCUGAGGUGGGAGGAUUACUUGAGGCCAGGAGUUCGAGACCAGCCUGGCCAACAUGGCGAAACCCCAUCUCU